AUAGUACCUGGCAGAGGAGGCACCUUGUUCAUGAAGGAGGUUUUCCCAGGUUGAGGCUCAUCCACUGCACUUCGUGUGUGCUGACCCCUGCGAUUUCUCCAAAUGCGGGAAACUCGAAAGCAUAGCUGCUUUUAUGUUUUUAAUUUUUGUAUAUUGAG
Molecule: small nuclear RNA, 158 nt
Organism: Elgaria multicarinata webbii
Lineage: Eukaryota; Metazoa; Chordata; Lepidosauria; Squamata; Anguidae
Product: U1 spliceosomal RNA
Exons: 1
Source: RefSeq, a predicted model, not a curated record